This is a long non-coding RNA of Pseudophryne corroboree (corroboree frog), 698 nucleotides long. RefSeq lists it as uncharacterized. The record is from RefSeq and is a predicted model, not a curated record. Lineage: Eukaryota; Metazoa; Chordata; Amphibia; Anura; Myobatrachidae. The transcript is spliced from 3 exons.
GGGCGGGGCUACAUCGGGAUCUUCUGCAGCUCUGCUGCUCUUCUCCUGGGGCCUGGCUGGCAGUGGAAGAGGAGGGAGGAGCUGCUGGAGGCUGCAAUUCAUCAAGGCAUCUUCCGGACGAUCGGAUCUCCUACAUGAAUAGUGAAUACCGACUUAAGACGCCAUCUGCCUCAGAGGAUACAGUUCUUCAGAGGUUCCAUAUUGUGAGAAACCAUCAUACAGAUCCUUGGCCUCUUGUGAAACAGACCAUACUCCCCAGAUAUGCACCUGCAUCAGUUUUAUUAAUCAGUGGAGCUUCAUUUCCUAAGACAGGGAAGGCAGUGGCCUUUCAUUUGGUUGGUUUGUAACCAAGGAAAUUCAAUUCGGAGAUAUCUCCAGGAACAUAAAUCCUGAUGUCCUGAUCCUGACACUGUUUCCUUACUCAAUAACAGGACAAUUUAUUUCUGCAAGAGAGAUGUACUAUUUAUUCUGAAAGUCCCAUCCUGUCUGUCAGGUGUUGUGCCUCAGAGGCCUUUUCAUUAUGUCUGAGCCAUGCUGUGUUUUAUACUGUUCUCAUUUUAAUUUCCUUUUGUGUUUCCUAUUGUACGUUUUAUCACAAAGUCCAGAUAUUUCCGCAUGGUAUAACCUGCGCAGGCUGGGGCUUGUUUUUACAUAAAGGCAAAUUUAAAUUGUUUGGGUGUCUGGAUGUAGGAGCUAGA